AUUGAACGCUGGCGGAAUGCUUUACACAUGCAAGUCGAACGGCAGCACGGGGGCAACCCUGGUGGCGAGUGGCGAACGGGUGAGUAAUACAUCGGAACGUGCCCAGUCGUGGGGGAUAACUACGCGAAAGCGUAGCUAAUACCGCAUACGAUCUACGGAUGAAAGCGGGGGAUCGCAAGACCUCGCGCGAUUGGAGCGGCCGAUGGCAGAUUAGGUAGUUGGUGGGGUAAAGGCUCACCAAGCCUGCGAUCUGUAGCUGGUCUGAGAGGACGACCAGCCACACUGGGACUGAGACACGGCCCAGACUCCUACGGGAGGCAGCAGUGGGGAAUUUUGGACAAUGGGCGCAAGCCUGAUCCAGCCAUUCCGCGUGCAGGAUGAAGGCCUUCGGGUUGUAAACUGCUUUUGUACGGAACGAAAAAGCCUCCUCUAAUACAGGGGGUCCAUGACGGUACCGUAAGAAUAAGCACCGGCUAACUACGUGCCAGCAGCCGCGGUAAUACGUAGGGUGCGAGCGUUAAUCGGAAUUACUGGGCGUAAAGCGUGCGCAGGCGGUGAUGUAAGACAGAUGUGAAAUCCCCGGGCUCAACCUGGGAACUGCAUUUGUGACUGCAUCGCUGGAGUGCGGCAGAGGGGGAUGGAAUUCCGCGUGUAGCAGUGAAAUGCGUAGAUAUGCGGAGGAACACCGAUGGCGAAGGCAAUCCCCUGGGCCUGCACUGACGCUCAUGCACGAAAGCGUGGGGAGCAAACAGGACUAGAUACCCUGGUAGUCCACGCCCUAAACGAUGUCAACUGGUUGUUGGGUCUUCACUGACUCAGUAACGAAGCUAACGCGUGAAGUUGACCGCCUGGGGAGUACGGCCGCAAGGUUG
This 872-nucleotide ribosomal RNA is filed under the name uncultured bacterium. RNAcentral describes it as "bacterial SSU rRNA". It matches the Rfam family "Bacterial small subunit ribosomal RNA", at positions 28 to 896 of the family's 1533-position model. The record is from RNAcentral.